Esox lucius (northern pike) is the source of this 1018-nucleotide long non-coding RNA. The record is from Ensembl. Lineage: Eukaryota; Metazoa; Chordata; Actinopteri; Esociformes; Esocidae.
CUGCAUGACAUCAGCAGCCCGGGACUGCAAAAACAUACUUACUCUAUUCGCUUUAAAACGGGAAACCUGUACCAUCUCAUGUUCGUGAAAACAACCGUUGAAAGACGUGAAGAAUAAAUGUGUCUCAACCAGCAGCACUCCACAGCGCACUAGACGAAGAAGGAACUACCUUUUGGGAGUCAUCCCUGAAUGGAUAACAGUUUGAGUUACAGUUGAAUUCUGAGAGUACCUUAUUAUUGACAGUGUAAAAAAAGUUUGGCUGCUGUUGAAGAAAAUCAACUGACAACCUAAUUCUUUGGGUGCAACUUAGACCAAUAACACACACACAGUGUUUCUGAGUCUUAAUAACGACGUCAGACUCCAGGCUAGCGGACACUCUAAGGGAAGCCAUCUGUUUUCCAAUAACCUAGUGGACACACUGUUUUUGGAAGAAUGACUGAGUCUACCGCUGACCUUGGGUAGUCAAUGUCCUCUGGACCAACUCUGGGAGCUGAUUAGGGAAUAUCACUUCACCCAGACUGGCUGUGUGUUAACACAUAUCUACAGGCCACAUCCGUCCGGCACUGGAGCUCAUUUACCCACAGAUAAAUUUGACUGACAAAAGGUCAUGAGAGCUGACCACAGACGUCUUGGAGAGCUAGGACUGGGUUAGCUGUCUCAAGUUUAACACAAGUCAUAUCACAGAAGUAAUGAACUAAGGAUGGCAGGAAAUUCAAUAAACAUUUCAGACUCUUCAAGCAGAAUCAAGAUCAGCUGCAGAACCCGGUGGACAAGGAUGACCAGGUGGACAAGGACGACUAGGUGGACCAGGGCAACUAUGUGGACCCGGAAAACCAGGUGGACUGGGACAACCAGGUGGAUCAGGACAACCAGCUGUUGCUGAAAACGGUUUCCAUCAAAAGGUAAAUACCAUGUAUGGGUCUUAAUAAAAGCAAUCUUCAUUGUGAGCGUUUAAAAUGUUACUACAUCAUGUAUCUUUAGCCAUAUAAAGCAUGUGUAAAGAUGUAUUAAAACUGAG